RNAcentral lists this ribosomal RNA (770 nucleotides) under uncultured bacterium. RNAcentral's name for it is "bacterial SSU rRNA". It matches the Rfam family "Bacterial small subunit ribosomal RNA", at positions 8 to 796 of the family's 1533-position model. The record is from RNAcentral.
AGAGUUUGAUCCUGGCUCAGGACGAACGCUGGCGGCGUGCUUAACACAUGCAAGUCGAGCGGAAAGGCCCUUCGGGGUACUCGGGCGGCGAACGGGUGAGUAACACGUGAGCAACCUGCCCCUAGCUCUGGGAUAGCUCCGGGAAACCGGGAUUAAUACCAGAUACGACCACUUUAGACAUCUGCUGUGGUGGAAAGGAUUCCGGCUAGGGAUGGGCUCGCGGCCUAUCAGCUUGUUGGUGGGGUAACGGCCUACCAAGGCGACGACGGGUAGCCGGCCUGAGAGGGCGACCGGCCACACUGGGACUGAGACACGGCCCAGACUCCUACGGGAGGCAGCAGUGGGGAAUAUUGCGCAAUGGGCGAAAGCCUGACGCAGCGACGCCGCGUGGGGGAUGAAGGCCUUCGGGUUGUAAACCUCUUUCAGCAGGGACGAAGCGAAAGUGACGGUACCUGCAGAAGAAGCGCCGGCUAACUACGUGCCAGCAGCCGCGGUAACACGUAGGGCGCAAGCGUUGUCCGGAAUUAUUGGGCGUAAAGAGCUCGUAGGCGGUCUGUUGCGUCCGCUGUGAAAUCUCGGGGCUUAACCCCGAGCCUGCAGUGGAUACGGGCAGACUAGAGGUAGGUAGGGGAGAAUGGAAUUCCCGGUGUAGCGGUGAAAUGCGCAGAUAUCGGGAGGAACACCGGUGGCGAAGGCGGUUCUCUGGGCCUUACCUGACGCUGAGGAGCGAAAGCGUGGGGAGCAAACAGGAUUAGAUACCCCCGUAGUCC